AAUGACGUCAUGCUUUGUAUAAAUAUCACCCAAUCGCUUCGUCAUAUCCUCUUGGAAUUAGUGCCAUCUUGAGAAGACACAGCUCUACGAUAUGAGGGCGAAGUGGCGAAAAAAGCGUAUGCGCAGGCUGAAGCGUAAAAGGCGAAAGAUGAGGCAGAGGUCAAAGUAGACUGCACCCCCCCCCCCCCCCCCCCCCCCCCCCCCCUCCCCCGGCUCCAGCUGUGACCUACCCUCACGACUCCUGCCGAGCUCACCUGGAGAGCCCGAAACGCGGACCCCACGCAGCCAUGCCAGCCGUUAAUCCGGAAACUCCACCGUCGCCCGGGGGCCACCCACCUGAGCCGACUGGCGCCCGAGAGGCUGCAGAGCUGGGAGAGGUCGUUUUUACGGGAUGCUCUGGACUCUGGCUACACACCCUGCAGCAGUUGCUUUGUGUA
This is a long non-coding RNA of Anguilla anguilla (European eel), 437 nucleotides long. RefSeq lists it as uncharacterized. The transcript has 4 exons. Lineage: Eukaryota; Metazoa; Chordata; Actinopteri; Anguilliformes; Anguillidae. The record is from RefSeq and is a predicted model, not a curated record.